This 461-nucleotide long non-coding RNA is filed under the name Ursus maritimus (polar bear). RNAcentral's name for it is "lncRNA (ENSUMAG00000024757.1)". The record is from RNAcentral. Lineage: Eukaryota; Metazoa; Chordata; Mammalia; Carnivora; Ursidae.
GUACAGCCUCAGGCCGGGGCCCCCUGGAAGGAUGUGGGGAAAACAAGUGUUGCUCUUCUGUGGAGAGAGGUGGUCUCUGGCCAAGACCCUGAGGGUGGAAUUGUCCUCAGUUUCCACUCACAAGUUCCUGCGGAGGCCAGGUGGGCUGAAGGCAUGACCACUCAGGCAUAUUAGCCCUGUCCUUGGCUCCUGCAAGGACGAGAACCCAGGGAAUCUCCAGCCUCUGCCGGCUCCUAGGGGACCGCUGCCAAGCAUGAGAAACCAACCAGUGAACGCACCACGGCACCGGCCUGGUUUUCUAGGGUAGCUGGAUUGUCCCGCAAAGUCGGCACGGUUCACGCACAGCAGCUCAACUGAGAACACGGAAGGUCAGUUUAUCCAGCAGUCGUGACUCCGCCGGCCGCCAGCCAGCAGAGAGCAAGGAGCCUCUUCCAGCUGCAGGAAGGGAAGGGUUUUCAAGG